AAUGAACGUUGGCGGCGUGGAUUAGGCAUGCAAGUCGAGCGCGAUAGGUUUGGUGCUUGCAUUGAACCUUGAAAGCGGCGAAAGGGAGAGUAACGCGUAGGGUACCUACCCCUGGGUUCGGGAUAGCGGCGGGAAACUGCCGGUAAUACCGGAUAAUGUCCCCGGACCAAAGGUGUGAUUCCGCCUAGGGAUGGUCCUGCGUCCUAUUAGCUAGUUGGUGAGAUAACGGCCCACCAAGGCAAAGAUGGGUAGCGGGCGUGAGAGCGUGACCCGUCUCACUGGGACUGAGACACUGCCCAGACACCUACGGGAGGCUG
RNAcentral lists this ribosomal RNA (317 nucleotides) under uncultured Planctomycetota bacterium. RNAcentral describes it as "bacterial SSU rRNA". It matches the Rfam family "Bacterial small subunit ribosomal RNA", at positions 29 to 351 of the family's 1533-position model. Lineage: Bacteria; Pseudomonadati; Planctomycetota. The record is from RNAcentral.